This 234-nucleotide long non-coding RNA is filed under the name Phaseolus vulgaris (common bean). RNAcentral describes it as "long non-coding RNA (PVUL_LNC003564)". The record is from RNAcentral. Lineage: Eukaryota; Viridiplantae; Streptophyta; Magnoliopsida; Fabales; Fabaceae.
AAAAAGCAACCUGGCUAAAGUAGAGGGUGAAGUCGCAGAAAAGGAAAAGAUGCUGACCGGUGAGUGAAAAAAGUGUCAAUCUUUUAUUUUUUGUAUAAGCAAGCAGUUCUUUUACCAAGACAUCCGUUAGACAAACUUUUUUUUAUGGUGUUCUUCUUGAAGACGACCGAUAUGAUAUGAACAAAGAUAUUGUAGAUGAACAGUUCAUAUCGGUCGGUGGUGAUGAGGAUGAAA